This 459-nucleotide ribosomal RNA is filed under the name uncultured bacterium. RNAcentral describes it as "partial 16S ribosomal RNA". It matches the Rfam family "Bacterial small subunit ribosomal RNA", at positions 338 to 795 of the family's 1533-position model. The record is from RNAcentral.
CCUACGGGAGGCAGCAGUGAGGAAUAUUGGUCAAUGGGCGCGAGCCUAAACCAGCCAAGCCGCGUGCAGGAAGACGGUCCUAUGGAUUGUAAACUUCUUUUGUCGGGGAGCAAAAGACGCUACGCGUAUCGGUCCGAAAGUACCCGAAGAAAAAGCAUCGGCUAACUCCGUGCCAGCAGCCGCGGUAAUACGGAGGAUGCGAGCGUUAUCCGGAUUUAUUGGGUUUAAAGGGUGCGUAGGCGGAGGAUCAAGUCAGCGGUAAAAUCGAGAGGCUCAACCUCUGCGAGCCGUUGAAUCUGGUUUGCUUGAGUGUGUGAGAAGUAUGCGGAAUGUGUGGUGUAGCGGUGAAAUGCAUAGAUAUCACGCAGAACUCCGAUUGCGAAGGCAGCAUACCGGCGCUCAACUGACGCUCAUGCACGAAAGUGUGGGUAUCGAACAGGAUUAGAUACCCCGGUAGUC